GGCCGGAAGUGCGGAUGUGGGCCGGUCUGCGGGCCUUUUCACUGCGCUGUUUUCUUUUUCUUUUUCCUUUUUGUUCAAAAGUGAUUGAUGUUUGAUUUUAUGUAUUAAAUCAUGUGCUGAUUCAAAAAAUUGUGAAAAUUUUUGUAUAGAUUCCAUAAGAUGAGUAGAACACAUGAAAAAUAUUAGAUUCCAUUUUCUGGCAGUUUGCAUAUAUAUGAAAAUUGUCCCUGUUU
Molecule: long non-coding RNA, 233 nt
Filed under: Sorghum bicolor (sorghum)
Lineage: Eukaryota; Viridiplantae; Streptophyta; Magnoliopsida; Poales; Poaceae
Description: long non-coding RNA (SBIC_LNC005569)
Source: RNAcentral